This 433-nucleotide ribosomal RNA is filed under the name uncultured bacterium. RNAcentral describes it as "partial 16S ribosomal RNA". It matches the Rfam family "Bacterial small subunit ribosomal RNA", at positions 29 to 507 of the family's 1533-position model. The record is from RNAcentral.
AACGAACGCUGGCGGCAUGCCUAACACAUGCAAGUCGAACGAAGCCUUCGGGCUUAGUGGCGCACGGGUGCGUAACGCGUGGGAAUCUGCCCCUUGCUUCGGAAUAACAGUUAGAAAUGACUGCUAAUACCGGAUGAAGUCUUCGGACCAAAGAUUUAUCGGCAAGGGAUGAGCCCGCGUAGGAUUAGGUAGUUGGUGGGGUAAAGGCCUACCAAGCCGACGAUCCUUAGCUGGUCUGAGAGGAUGAUCAGCCACACUGGGACUGAGACACGGCCCAGACUCCUACGGGAGGCAGCAGUGGGGAAUAUUGGACAAUGGACGCAAGUCUGAUCCAGCAAUGCCGCGUGAGUGAUGAAGGCCUUAGGGUUGUAAAGCUCUUUUACCAGGGAUGAUAAUGGCAGUACCUGGAGAAUAAGCUCCGGCUAACUCCGUG